This 384-nucleotide ribosomal RNA is filed under the name uncultured bacterium. Its description in RNAcentral is "bacterial SSU rRNA". It matches the Rfam family "Bacterial small subunit ribosomal RNA", at positions 524 to 906 of the family's 1533-position model. The record is from RNAcentral.
UACGUAGGUGGCAAGCGUUGUCCGGAAUUAUUGGGCGUAAAGCGCGCGCAGGCGGUCCUUUAAGUCUGAUGUGAAAGCCCACGGCUCAACCGUGGAGGGUCAUUGGAAACUGGGGGACUUGAGUGCAGAAGAGGAAAGCGGRAUUCCACGUGUAGCGGUGAAAUGCGUAGAGAUGUGGAGGAACACCAGUGGCGAAGGCGGCUUUCUGGUCUGUAACUGACGCUGAGGCGCGAAAGCGUGGGGAGCRAACAGGAUUAGAUACCCUGGUAGUCCACGCCGUAAACGAUGAGUGCUAAGUGUUAGAGGGUUUCCGCCCUUUAGUGCUGCAGCUAACGCAUUAAGCACUCCGCCUGGGGAGUACGGCCGCAAGGCUGAAACUCAAAG